RNAcentral lists this ribosomal RNA (497 nucleotides) under uncultured bacterium. Its description in RNAcentral is "partial 16S ribosomal RNA". It matches the Rfam family "Bacterial small subunit ribosomal RNA", at positions 28 to 507 of the family's 1533-position model. The record is from RNAcentral.
GAUGAACGCUGGCGGCGUGCCUAAUACAUGCAAGUCGAGCGAACAGAUGAGGAGCUUGCUCCUCUGACGUUAGCGGCGGACGGGUGAGUAACACGUGGAUAACCUACCUAUAAGACUGGGAUAACUUCGGGAAACCGGAGCUAAUACCGGAUAAUAUAUUGAACCGCAUGGUUCAAUAGUGAAAGACGGUUUUGCUGUCACUUAUAGAUUGUUCCGCGCCGCAUUAGCUAGUUGGUAAGGUAACGGCUUACCAAGGCAACGAUGCGUAGCCGACCUGAGAGGGUGAUCGGCCACACUGGAACUGAGACACGGUCCAGACUCCUACGGGAGGCAGCAGUAGGGAAUCUUCCGCAAUGGGCGAAAGCCUGACGGAGCAGCGCCGCGUGAGUGAUGAAGGUCUUCGGAUCGUAAAACUCUGUUAUUAGGGAAGAACAAAUGUGUAAGUAACUAUGAACGUCUUGACGGUACCUAAUCAGAAAGCCACGGCUAACUACGUG